GCAAAAACCAACCUCCGAAUGAUUAAAGCCUAGACUCAACAAGUCAAAGCAUUAGAAAUCAUAAAUUGACCCAAAUCCUUUUGAUCAACGGAACA
Molecule: ribosomal RNA, 95 nt
Filed under: uncultured organism
Description: partial 16S ribosomal RNA
Source: RNAcentral